This 465-nucleotide ribosomal RNA is filed under the name Vreelandella stevensii. Its description in RNAcentral is "partial 16S ribosomal RNA". It matches the Rfam family "Bacterial small subunit ribosomal RNA", at positions 338 to 795 of the family's 1533-position model. Lineage: Bacteria; Pseudomonadati; Pseudomonadota; Gammaproteobacteria; Oceanospirillales; Halomonadaceae. The record is from RNAcentral.
CCUACGGUGGGCUGCAGUGGGGAAUAUUGGACAAUGGGCGAAAGCCUGAUCCAGCCAUGCCGCGUGUGUGAAGAAGGCCUUCGGGUUGUAAAGCACUUUCAGUGGGGAAGAAAGCCUUGGGGCUAAUACCCUCGAGGAAGGACAUCACCCACAGAAGAAGCACCGGCUAACUCCGUGCCAGCAGCCGCGGUAAUACGGAGGGUGCGAGCGUUAAUCGGAAUUACUGGGCGUAAAGCGCGCGUAGGCGGUCUGAUAAGCCGGUUGUGAAAGCCCCGGGCUCAACCUGGGAACGGCAUCCGGAACUGUCAGGAUAGAGUGCAGGAGAGGAAGGUAGAAUUCCCGGUGUAGCGGUGAAAUGCGUAGAGAUCGGGAGGAAUACCAGUGGCGAAGGCGGCCUUCUGGACUGACACUGACGCUGAGGUGCGAAAGCGUGGGUAGCAAACAGGAUUAGAUACCCUAGUAGUC